This 497-nucleotide ribosomal RNA is filed under the name uncultured bacterium. RNAcentral's name for it is "partial 16S ribosomal RNA". It matches the Rfam family "Bacterial small subunit ribosomal RNA", at positions 28 to 507 of the family's 1533-position model. The record is from RNAcentral.
GAUGAACGCUGGCGGCGUGCCUAAUACAUGCAAGUCGAGCGAACAGAUGAGGAGCUUGCUCCUCUGACGUUAGCGGCGGACGGGUGAGUAACACGUGGAUAACCUACCUAUAAGACUGGGAUAACUUCGGGAAACCGGAGCUAAUACCGGAUAAUAUAUUGAACCGCAUGGUUCAAUAGUGAAAGACGGUUUUGCUGUCACUUAUAGAUGGAUCCGCGCCGCAUUAGCUAGUUGGUAAGGUAACGGCUUACCAAGGCAACGAUGCGUAGCCGACCUGAGAGGGUGAUCGGCCACACUGGAACUGAGACACGGUCCAGACUCCUACGGGAGGCAGCAGUAGGGAAUCUUCCGCAAUGGGCGAAAGCCUGACGGAGCAACGCCGCGUGAGUGAUGAAGGUCUUCGGAUCGUAAAACUCUGUUAUUAGGGAAGAACAAAUGUGUAAGUAACUAUGCACGUCUGGACGGUACCUAAUCAGAAAGCCACGGCUAACUACGUG